Molecule: ribosomal RNA, 425 nt
Filed under: uncultured bacterium
Lineage: Bacteria
Description: partial 16S ribosomal RNA
Rfam family: Bacterial small subunit ribosomal RNA
Source: RNAcentral
GUGGGGAAUCUUAGACAAUGGGGGAAACCCUGAUCUAGCCAUGCCGCGUGAGCGAUGAAGGCCUUAGGGUUGUAAAGCUCUUUCAGAGGGGAAGAUAAUGACGGUACCCUCAGAAGAAGCCCCGGCUAACUCCGUGCCAGCAGCCGCGGUAAUACGGAGGGGGCUAGCGUUGUUCGGAAUUACUGGGCGUAAAGCGCACGUAGGCGGACCAGAAAGUCAGGGGUGAAAUCCCGGGGCUCAACCCCGGAACUGCCUUUGAAACUCCUGGUCUUGAGGUCGAGAGAGGUGAGUGGAAUUCCGAGUGUAGAGGUGAAAUUCGUAGAUAUUCGGAGGAACACCAGUGGCGAAGGCGGCUCACUGGCUCGAUACUGACGCUGAGGUGCGAAAGCGUGGGGAGCAAACAGGAUUAGAAACCCGUGUAGUCC